AGAACGUAGCGAAAUGCGAUACUUGGUGUGAAUUGCAGAAUCCCGUGAACCAUCGAGUCUUUGAACGCAAGUUGCGCCCGAAGCCAUUAGGCUGAGGGCACGCCUGCCUGGGUGUCA
This 117-nucleotide ribosomal RNA is filed under the name Indigofera dalzellii. RNAcentral describes it as "5.8S ribosomal RNA". It matches the Rfam family "5.8S ribosomal RNA", at positions 40 to 154 of the family's 154-position model. From Rfam's summary of the family: 5.8S ribosomal RNA (5.8S rRNA) is a component of the large subunit of the eukaryotic ribosome. It is transcribed by RNA polymerase I as part of the 45S precursor that also contains 18S and 28S rRNA. The record is from RNAcentral. Lineage: Eukaryota; Viridiplantae; Streptophyta; Magnoliopsida; Fabales; Fabaceae. RNAcentral also lists the same sequence under 1 other name.